UAGGGAAUCUUCCACAAUGGGCGCAAGCCUGAUGGAGCAACACCGCGUGAGUGAAGAAGGGUUUCGGCUCGUAAAGCUCUGUUGUUAAAGAAGGACACGUAUGAGAGUAACUGUUCAUACGUUGACGGUAUUUAACCAGAAAGUCACGGCUAACUGCGUGCAAG
RNAcentral lists this ribosomal RNA (164 nucleotides) under uncultured bacterium. RNAcentral's name for it is "partial 16S rRNA". It matches the Rfam family "Bacterial small subunit ribosomal RNA", at positions 355 to 511 of the family's 1533-position model. The record is from RNAcentral.